GGAGUAGGGAAACUAAUCGAGCAAGAUAGCUGGCUAAGAUUUGAACUUUGAACAUGAAUGUGAAGGAGCCAGGCAUGGGAAAAGAAGAAAGGCGGACAGGUCAGUCCCAAGGUAGCCGCAGAGUUUCCUGAGAUCACAUUCCAGCUGGCUCAGAGCAAGACGGCCCCCUGCAGGAGAAUCAAACUCAUCCUGUGAGCUGUGACUGCCAUCCAGAUGAAACUGUUUGGUAACCAGACGGGCUCAGAGCGCGGAGCUGCCGAGCCAAACUGACCUUGGACCUGGGGAAAGACAAACAGGUGUUACCUGCAUUUAUCUGAUCUUGUUCUGGGAAAUUUGAAUAGGACCGACUCAAAAACCCCAAAACAAUGACCCCUUUUUUUUAAAUGAAAUUAAAGUGGGACAAUAUAUGACAUACCUUUUGAUGUAGCCAAUCAGACAGAAGGAGGAGAUGUUGUCAUGUCGGAUUUGAGAUUGAUUCAGCCACAUUGUGUGUUUUUUCUUUAUAAAGUGUAAUGUGGAAUUAUAGUAUUAAAAUGAUGAAUGUAUAAUGAUUGUUUAGUUUUUUUUUACUUUUCAGGUUAUUCAGAUACACACUGCAACACAAAGGUCGUCAGGCUUUUA
This is a long non-coding RNA of Etheostoma spectabile (orangethroat darter), 621 nucleotides long. RefSeq lists it as uncharacterized. The record is from RefSeq and is a predicted model, not a curated record. Lineage: Eukaryota; Metazoa; Chordata; Actinopteri; Perciformes; Percidae. The transcript has 3 exons.